RNAcentral lists this ribosomal RNA (396 nucleotides) under uncultured bacterium. RNAcentral describes it as "bacterial SSU rRNA". It matches the Rfam family "Bacterial small subunit ribosomal RNA", at positions 28 to 417 of the family's 1533-position model. The record is from RNAcentral.
GACGAACGCUGGCGGCGCGCUUAACACAUGCAAGUCGAGCGAGAACCAGGGCUUCGGCCCUGGGGAAAGCGGCGAACGGGUGAGUAACACGUGAGUAACCUGUCCUCGGCACCGGGAUAGCCCGGGGAAACCCGGAUUAAUACCGGAUGGCCCUUCGAGUCCUCGGGCUCGUCAGAAAAGGGAGCUUCGGCCUCCGGCCGAGGAGGGACUCGCGGCGGAUUAGCUUGUUGGUGGGGUAACGGCUCACCAAGGCGACGAUCCGUAGCUGGUCUGAGAGGACGAUCAGCCACACUGGGACUGAGACACGGCCCAGACUCCUACGGGAGGCAGCAGUGGGGAAUCUUGCGCAAUGGGCGAAAGCCUGACGCAGCGACGCCGCGUGCGGGAAGAAGGCCU